AGCAGCCGCGGUAAUUCCAGCUCCAAUAGCGUAUAUUAAAGUUGUUGCAGUUAAAAAAGCUCGUAGUUGAAUUUCGGGGUUAGUACGCUGGUCAUGCCUUCGGUAUGUACUGGUGUUACCGAUUCCUACCUUCUGAAGAACCGUCAUGUCAUUAGUUUGGUGUGGCGGGGAAUCAGGACUGUUACUUUGAAAAAAUUAGAGUGUUUAAAGCAGGCUCGCGCUUGAAUACAUUAGCAUGGAAUAAUGAAAUAGGACGUUCGAUCCUAUUUUGUUGGUUUCUAGGAUUGACGUAAUGAUUAAUAGGGAUAGUUGGGGGCAUUAGUAUUCAAUUGUCAGAGGUGAAAUUCUUGGAUUUAUUGAAGACUAACUACUGCGAAAGCAUUUGCCAAGGAUGUUUUCAUUAAUCAAGAACGAAAGUUAGGGGAUCGAAGACGAUCAGAUACCGUCGUA
This 450-nucleotide ribosomal RNA is filed under the name uncultured Glomeromycotina. Its description in RNAcentral is "SSU rRNA". It matches the Rfam family "Eukaryotic small subunit ribosomal RNA", at positions 569 to 1022 of the family's 1831-position model. Lineage: Eukaryota; Fungi; Glomeromycota. The record is from RNAcentral.